AUAAAUAUCUUAAAAAAAAAUGAGGAACCAUGUAAAGGGCUAAGGCCCUUUCAAUUCUAGGAAUUUAUCUUUUUACUCGAGAAGGUUCUCGGUUUCUAUUGUCUCCAAUAUUCCCUUGGCCCACAGAUUAGAGAGUCUGGUCUUUUCAAGUGCUUAUGGCUUAGCCCCCAGCCAGACUGUAAAGCUACUUAACAACAGGGACCAGGUGUUGUAUGCCUUUGUCACAGGGCAUUGUCAAUGCUCAGUAAGCACUCAUUGAUUGCCUAUAUAAUACCCUGUACUUUGACCUCCUCCACUGAGGGGACAAGAGAUUGGGAAAGGGAGUGAAGAAUGACUGUUGGCCUUAGAAAACAGAAAUCUGUUCCCAUCUCUGCCCAUCUUUUCUCAUCCGUCACUCUGCAGACAUAUGGGUAUAGGACUGACCUCUCCCACAUCCUUGCCAAGCCUUUUAUGGAACAUUGCAAAUGACCUGUGAGCAAGAAUUACCAUAAGGCAGUUGGUCUAUGUUGGGCACUAUGCCCAAGUGUCUCUGCCCCUUGUGAGUAGGUGGAUGAAUGGAGGGAUGGAGGAAUGGAUAGAUAGAUAGAAGGAUGGAUGUGUGGGUGGGUAGGUGUACUGACAGAUGGAUGGAUGGAUGGGUUAAUGGACUGAUGGAGGGAUGGGUGGAUGGAUGGUUGGAUGGAUGGGUCGAUGGACUGAUGGGUGGAUGGAUGGACUGAAUUAAGUAAUAUCAAUCAGAGGCCUGAGUGUUUUUCACCCCUAACCCUGAUCACACUGAGCCAGAUGCUCUCAUAGUCCAGGGCAAAGGGCACCUGCUCAGUUCCAGGAUGAAUCUAAGGUCAACGUCUUCUGUCUGUAGUGGGUUUCCAUAGACAUUACAUCUCAUCAACUGGUACCAACUAAUAGAACCUGUUGAAAAACAGAGACGGUCCUCUCAUAAUUCCAAACAGGGUCAUACUCACAAUGCCAUCAGUCCCUGUUCUCACACUGCCUCACUGGCCACAGCCUGGCUACAGAAAAAAGUCUGUCCUUAGGCCCUUCAGAAACACUCGCUCUUGCUUCUUCCACCUCCGUAUGGCUAGGAUGGAGCCCCAUGGGGCACCAAAGGGAAGGUGAUAUAAAGUCGUCUGACCCCAGCAUCAUUUAUCUGGCUGCCAAAACCACCCAGAACAAUAGCUAUGAGCAGAGUCCCAGUGUCUGGCUUUUGCCAAGGCUUUAUGGGUGACUCUCUCCCCUUUCAACAAACACACAUUGCUGUUCCCCACCUCCUUAUUAUCCAUACUGUGCUGAAGACAUUGUGAAAUCCCUAGGCCCUUCUUCCCCAUCCUGGAGACAAUUAUAAAGAUUGCUACAGGCUUACCCACCCUGACCAGGCAAUAUAAACUCAGUGCACAUGCCCUGGAGAAAUCAGUUGGAGGUUCCAGGCACUUGGGAUCUGCAGGUCAGUGGUGGACCGGCAGUAUUCUAUCUUUCUCUGUUUUCUUCUCCCUCUGUCAAUAGCUCUGAUACGCCCCCUCUUUUUAACUCCUCCUGGCAAGCUCUCUAGUUAGCAAGGUAUCCCCUACCUAGAUCACCAUGGGAUGCUAAAUAAGUCUAGGGUCACAUAGAAGGAAUUUGAGGAGAAGGUAUAGGUUAAGUCAAGAUUUUUAAAUAUUUAGGACCACCGGUUUUAGAAAGUAAUUUCAGAAGAACUCAUCUAGGCCAGUGGUAUUCAACAAUGUUUUAUGAAGCUUGAGGUUCCUUAGAGAUGCCCCAGUGCCUUUUUGUUUUUUUGGGUUUUUUUGCAGUGUACAUUAUUUUAGUUUUAUUUUUAAAAAAUUUAAAGUAAUUUUUAUUGAAAUAUAGUUGAUUUAUGUUUUUGUGUUAGUUUCUGCUGUACAGCAAAGUGAGUUAUACAUAUACAUCUUUUUAGAUGUAUACAUCCACUCUUUUAUAGAUUCUUUUCCCAUAUAGGUCAUUACAGAGUAUUAAGUAGAGUUCCCUGUGCUAUCAGUAAGUUCUUAUUAUCUAUUUUAUAUAUAGUAGAGUGUUUAGUUACCAAGGGCGAAAGGGGGGAGGGAUAAAUUGGGAGAUUGGGAUUGACAUACACACCCAGUGCCUGCUUCAGUAGUCGAUGCUAGCUGGGUCCUGGUGUCACCAUCAUUCUCUGCUUCUGCAAAAGCAGGUGUCUUUCAUCCAUUUAACUUUCAUUAGUGUCUGUUUAAAAUUUCCUUGUGAAACCUAAAAUAGUUUUGAAAAAUAUUGACCUUGCCCAACCCCUCAUUCCAAUGAUAAGGAUUUGGAGGUCUAGGGAAUAAAGGAAUUUUCCAAGGUGACAAAAUAAAUUGGUAGCAGAGUUAGGUCUGGAACCAACCUUGCCGUCCGAAUCUGCGGUGAGUGUUUCUAUGUCCUGCUCAUGAGCACCAGUGUGUCUCAGUGGGGGCAGAUGGAGAGAGCUACAAGCUAUGCUUUGUGUCUUCAAGAACUUGUUAACUUUUUAUAAGGGAAAAAGUGUCUAUACAUAAAACAAUAAAUAACACAUUGAAAUUUAAUGGGACUUCAGAGUAAGUUUGCCAUGGUAAAGAGUCUUUAAACUCUGAGUCACGGAAUCAUUGAUUGUUUGAUCUUGAAAGAAUCUUAAUAACCACAUCCUCUAACUCCAUGAUUUUAUAGAUGCUGAAAACUGAAGAUUGGAGGCAAGGACCAGUCACCCCUGAUUGCAGGAAUGUGCUUCCUCCCCAUGGCAAAAUACUACAUGUAAGUCUUCCUGGAGUCUUCCUUUUCCUAAUCAGGGGGUCUGGAGAUGACAGAGGAAGAGGAAAGAGGGCUGAAUCAGUCUCCUUCUCACCCCAGAAAUCUCAAGUGCCCCAUAAUUAAGCUUAAUCAUCAUCAUAAUCACAAAAGCUUUCUUUCCUGAACUUCUGCAAGAUGCCAGCCAUUCUACUGCCCUGCCUCCAUCCUGAGAAAUCUACAAAGGGGGCAUUACUAAGCCCAUUUUAUAGAUUUGGAAACUGAGGCUCAAAGAGGUUAGAAAGUACCUAAUGUCACACAGCGCCAGGACUCAGACUCCAGGUUCUCUGUGCUGCUCCGGCCUCCAUUCUCUAAAAGCUCAGAGAUAAUUUUAAAUCUCAGUGACAGCAUCUUUGUAUGUUAGCCUCUGUGGCCUCUAUUCCCAGUCUGGGCUUCCAACUCUUACCUGCAUUUUAUCUCACUUGACAUUUGAGUCUUUACUUUUAGUUUACCACUUUAUUGUCUGUGAUUUUUGUUGUAAAUCAUCUCAAGCUCUUCGAGGAAUGAGUUAAGGCAUGAUAAAAAUAAAAUAGGAUUGACACCUGG
Molecule: long non-coding RNA, 3315 nt
Organism: Aethalodelphis obliquidens (Pacific white-sided dolphin)
Lineage: Eukaryota; Metazoa; Chordata; Mammalia; Artiodactyla; Delphinidae
Exons: 2
Source: RefSeq, a predicted model, not a curated record